Molecule: ribosomal RNA, 948 nt
Filed under: uncultured Burkholderia sp.
Lineage: Bacteria; Pseudomonadati; Pseudomonadota; Betaproteobacteria; Burkholderiales; Burkholderiaceae
Description: bacterial SSU rRNA
Rfam family: Bacterial small subunit ribosomal RNA
Source: RNAcentral
AGGGUUUGAUUAUGGCUCAGAUUGAACGCUGGCGGCAUGCCUUACACAUGCAAGUCGAACGGCAGCACGGGGGCAACCCUGGUGGCGAGUGGCGAACGGGUGAGUAAUACAUCGGAACGUGUCCUGUAGUGGGGGAUAGCCCGGCGAAAGCCGGAUUAAUACCGCAUACGCUCUGCGGAGGAAAGCGGGGGCUCCUUCGGGACCUCGCGCUACAGGGGCGGCCGAUGGCAGAUUAGCUAGUUGGUGGGGUAAAGGCCUACCAAGGCGACGAUCUGUAGCUGGUCUGAGAGGACGACCAGCCACACUGGGACUGAGACACGGCCCAGACUCCUACGGGAGGCAGCAGUGGGGAAUUUUGGACAAUGGGCGCAAGCCUGAUCCAGCAAUGCCGCGUGUGUGAAGAAGGCCUUCGGGUUGUAAAGCACUUUUGUCCGGAAAGAAAACCUCAGCCCUAAUACGGCGGGGGGAUGACGGUACCGGAAGAAUAAGCACCGGCUAACUACGUGCCAGCAGCCGCGGUAAUACGUAGGGUGCAAGCGUUAAUCGGAAUUACUGGGCGUAAAGCGUGCGCAGGCGGUCCGCUAAGACAGAUGUGAAAUCCCCGGGCUUAACCUGGGAACUGCAUUUGUGACUGGCGGGCUAGAGUAUGGCAGAGGGGGGUAGAAUUCCACGUGUAGCAGUGAAAUGCGUAGAGAUGUGGAGGAAUACCGAUGGCGAAGGCAGCCCCCUGGGCCAAUACUGACGCUCAUGCACGAAAGCGUGGGGAGCAAACAGGAUUAGAUACCCUGGUAGCCCACGCCCUAAACGAUGUCAACUAGUUGUCGGGCCUUCAUUGGCUUGGUAACGUAGCUAACGCGUGAAGUUGACCGCCUGGGGAGUACGGUCGCAAGAUUAAAACUCAAAGGAAUUGACGGGGACCCGCACAAGCGGUGGAUGAUGUGGAUUAAU